This 230-nucleotide ribosomal RNA is filed under the name uncultured bacterium. Its description in RNAcentral is "partial 16S ribosomal RNA". It matches the Rfam family "Bacterial small subunit ribosomal RNA", at positions 562 to 791 of the family's 1533-position model. The record is from RNAcentral.
AAAGCGUGCGCAGGCGGUUCGGAAAGAAAGAUGUGAAAUCCCAGGGCUUAACCUUGGAACUGCAUUUUUAACUACCGAGCUAGAGUAUGUCAGAGGGGGGUGGAAUUCCGCGUGUAGCAGUGAAAUGCGUAGAUAUGCGGAGGAACACCGAUGGCGAAGGCAGCCCCCUGGGAUAAUACUGACGCUCAUGCACGAAAGCGUGGGGAGCAAACAGGAUUAGAUACCCGGGU